UGAGGAAUAUUGGUCAAUGGGCGAUAGCCUGAACCAGCCAAGUAGCGUGAAGGAUGAAGGCUCUAUGGGUCGUAAACUUCUUUUAUAUAAGAAUAAAGUGCAGUAUGUAUACUGUUUUGUAUGUAUUAUAUGAAUAAGGAUCGGCUAACUCCGUGCCAGCAGCCGCGGUAAUACGGAGGAUCCGAGCGUUAUCCGGAUUUAUUGGGUUUAAAGGGAGCGUAGGUGGACUGGUAAGUCAGUUGUGAAAGUUUGCGGCUCAACCGUAAAAUUGCAGUUGAUACUGUCAGUCUUGAGUACAGUAGAGGUGGGCGGAAUUCGUGGUGUAGCGGUGAAAUGCUUAGAUAUCACGAAGAACUCCGAUUGCGAAGGCAGCUCACUGGACUGCAACUGACACUGAUGCUCGAAAGUGUGGGUAUCAAACAGG
Molecule: ribosomal RNA, 424 nt
Filed under: Fusobacteriota bacterium
Lineage: Bacteria; Fusobacteriati; Fusobacteriota
Description: Fusobacteria bacterium partial 16S ribosomal RNA
Rfam family: Bacterial small subunit ribosomal RNA
Source: RNAcentral